UCUUGUUUUUGAAAAGUAUAAUUGAAUGAAAAAAAAUCUAAUUUUGAAAGGAGACCAGUCAUUAUUUUAGUGUUAUUAGCUUAUUUCUGGACCAUUUUCCCCCUCACUUUUUUGUAUGACCAUUGAAUUGCCUACUUGAAUGGUCAACUUAAAUAGAAACACGAUGGAGAGCAAGGCUCUGAAAGUUGUCAACUUUUCCACUGUUCAAAAUGAAUCAUGCUUUAUUUUUUUAAAUACCUUUUUUUUAAUCAUAUUUUAGUAAUCUGUUUUUGAGAGCCUGUUUUAUCUCUAUAUUUUUGUUGGAGAUCAAGAUGUUUUCAUUAGGACAAAUGAACUGCAGUGCUUUUCUAUCUGCUGCAACAUUCAACGUUGCACAUUUCUGUAGACUUCAGGAAGAACAUGCUUUUAUAUAUAAACAUCAAAUAAUUUGCAAAAGGUGAGAGCUUCAUUCACUUCGAAAACUAUUACCUAUUUAAUUUAAGUCGCUCUUUAGUUUAUUCAAUUGUUGUUUUUUACCAUGACUAUGCAUUCUGUCUUUCUGCAGGCCGAGUUCCGGGUUUGUGAUGUCCACCAUGAGAGAUUCUCAUUAAAGUUGAACCAGUGACUAGUCUCAGAUGGGGAGCUGGACCUCUUGAAGACCAAGCUAGACUGGCAGGCCUGUGGAUAUCUUGUUCUGGGCUACUCAGAGGUGCUGCCAGAACUGGACCUCGGCACUAUCAAUUCACAGACCACCACCUACAGCCCCUCCAUACAAACCUGCACAUAGGACAAGUGCUGGGCCUCAGUCACAAUGUCAUCACUGAUGCUCUGACUGAAACUAGCCUACACCAACUGGUCAUUGCCAACUGUUCCACUAACCUACCGUAUAGUGUGCAUUGGAGUGCUUGCCUGUGAUUGAGAAAGCGUGCGAUGUAGACUUGCGAACAGAACAUCCUUCCUGACACACAAGACAAGAGUUCUGAGGUCUUGUAAAGAGGGAUGAGAGGACUGUCAAUAGAUUAAAUUGAUUCAUUACUUUGAUCAGUCCUACUUUCAACACUUCGUACUAAAAAUGUACUCUGAUUGCCCACUUAGGCUUGCAAUGGAUUUCAGUGGAGUUAAACAUGACACAUGCAGUAUCACUGUUUCGGGGCUACGAGAAGGGGUCGAGAAGGGGCUACGAGAAGGGGUCGAUUUGGAAUUCAGCACUGUCCAUGGGUUGACCGACCUGAACUUUUUUUUUCCUUAAAUGUUUUAUUUUUGUUUUUCACAGUACAGCUGGAAAUGUAAAGAUUGAAACAUAGUAGGGGCAUAGACCGAGGGUGGCCGAGGUGGGUCCCAAUCCCUGUUGCCAGGGGGCCCAAUCCCUGUUGCCAGGGGGCAUAUCUGGUACAGAGUCGGUGAGCUUAGACCACUACACUAGACUCCGUCACGACUGACCUGUACUUUUUACCAGAACAGAAAUACUAUGUUCAUCAGAUUCUCCUCACUGUGAAACUCAGAAUGGUUGUGAGGUCACAGGGAAAAGACUGAUCUGAGGGACCACAGACUCACAAAACAUUGUAGCUCACCUGACUGGAAAACACAGCUCUUGGUGGUGCCAAUGUCUGCCAUGAAACAAAAAUGAAAACACAACAGAAAAUUGCUCUCUACUUCCUACCACAAUCUUAUAUAUUACAUACUUAGAAUAUGAAUGUGAUUAUUCAUACACUCAUAUUAGGCCUAUUUCUAUUUGGUUGGGGUGUUCAAUGGUUAAGUGGACUAGCUACCACUAUGGCAUUUUGAUGUUAUGGCGUCAGCUCUGGCUGGCUGAGAAGACAAGUAAAUGGGCUAAUAGUUGGCAGGGCAAUUUUAGUUUUUCCAACUUUGUAUUACCGUAUCAAAUAAUUUAAUGAAGGUAGAAAAAUAACUUUAUAUCAGUGUUAUGCAUGUUGUUCAAGCGUGUAACUGCCCUCUCAUUCGCUAGAAUGGUCCCACCUGAUCUCGCCUCCUCCCGACUUCCUUCCAUCUUUGAAGACAUGUAUUUUCAUUGUUAGAGUGGCCACUUGAGUAUCUUAUCAAUAUAAUUGUCAUGACUGUCACUCCUUGGUGAGGAUCAAAGGUGCCGGAUCAGCUAGGCCAAUGGCUGACAGAUAGCCAAACUCUCUCUCUCCUGGGGGAGUUGGCCCGGUUUUAUGAUUUAACGACCGGAUUGUAAAUACCUGGCAGAAACUCUCCCUUUGGCUCUGCAGUAUUGAAUGUCUGAGUGUUACAGAGAGACUCUUGCUAAAAACUUUAACAUCCAAAGAUUUGACAUUGGAACAUUAGUUUUGAAAUCCAAACGCUUGGAAUGGUUGGUGGGUUUAUUAUUUUGUGAUAUCAUUAAGGAUGGUGUAACAUUGUAACUUUAAGAGCUUUCACAAUGUAUUGAUCAGAUUUGCAUCUAAAUGUUGUAUAAAAUAAAUGAUUAAGUAUAAGAAUACUGUUGUGAAGAUAAAAUAUGAUUUUAGCCUUUAAAUGAGAAUUGUUUUUCAUAUAAACAUUUGCUAAGUCAGUAACCACGUCCACGUGAGCACAGACUUCAUGUCAGCAUGAUGGAACGCCCCUUUUUACCUAAGCAUAAAAGGACUCGUAAGGAAAUGUACAUUAGACCAAAACAUGCCGGGUUGCUGCUGGUGUGUAAAGUGGUCCUAGCUGUACCCUGAAUAAUCAACCAUUGAGACCAGUCUGCGUGCAGCGUGAGCUGAAUAUGUUACCAAUGGUUAAAUCUCUACAGUUGGGUAAUUUAAAGUAGUCUAUGUAGAACAAAAGGAGAACAGUUCCCUAUCACCACUGUGAUACACCUCUGAUGGAUCCAUUCUAACGAACACUCCAGAACAAAAGAAGCCUACAACUAGAAAUUGUGACCUCUGGUGGGCCACCAGAGACUUACAUCGACCCACCACAUUGAACUAUCGAGUUCAACAGAGAGAUGGCAGAGAAAGACAUCUACGCGUAAAUAUGUAUUGCAUUCCUUUUCUGAAUGAGUGGUUGUUAGGGUACUAAAUAUCCAUAUUUACAGUGAGUGUGUUUUUCAACUGUAUGUACGAUAAUUCCACUCUCUAUUUCUCUCCCGCUCCUUAUCUUUCCCCACCCCCUUUCCAUUGUGUAACAAGCUGUCAUAUCGGGUUAGUCCACUAGGGACUGUGUUUCAUUGCAUUAUGUUAGUAAUAAAUAAUCUACACUGUG
This is a long non-coding RNA of Oncorhynchus nerka (sockeye salmon), 3186 nucleotides long. RefSeq lists it as uncharacterized. NCBI's taxonomy places the organism in Eukaryota, Metazoa, Chordata, Actinopteri, Salmoniformes, Salmonidae. The transcript has 4 exons. The record is from RefSeq and is a predicted model, not a curated record.